This 88-nucleotide transfer RNA is filed under the name Opitutales bacterium. RNAcentral describes it as "tRNA-Ser". It matches the Rfam family "tRNA". From Rfam's summary of the family: Transfer RNA (tRNA) molecules are approximately 80 nucleotides in length. Their secondary structure includes four short double-helical elements and three loops (D, anti-codon, and T loops). Lineage: Bacteria; Pseudomonadati; Verrucomicrobiota; Opitutia; Opitutales. The record is from RNAcentral.
GGAGAGAUGGCAGAGUGGUCGAAUGCGGUGGUCUUGAAAACCAUUGUGCCGAAAGGUACCGGGGGUUCGAAUCCCUCUCUCUCCGCCA